CCAGAUGGCAGCACAGGCAUAUGGCUUCGGUGCAACUACCGGUGGAUGGUGUUGGUGCUGCGGUGGAUGUUGGUGGCGACUCGUUAGGAGGCGACUGUUUCGGGUGGUGGUGAGGCAAGCUUAUGGAGAGAUCGAGGUCGAGGUCGAGGUCGAGGUCGAGGUCGAGGUCGAGGUCUUGGUCUUGAUCUUCGUGGUGGCGGCUGGCGUCGCUGCUCAUGCGGCCGUCGUCGGUGGAGUCGGCCGUAGACUUUGCGGCAGCGGCUGCUGUUUCUUGUGGCAGGGGAAUGAGGAAGUCUUGGUGUUGGUGUA
This 309-nucleotide long non-coding RNA is filed under the name Musa acuminata (dwarf banana). RNAcentral's name for it is "long non-coding RNA (MACU_LNC005053)". The record is from RNAcentral. Lineage: Eukaryota; Viridiplantae; Streptophyta; Magnoliopsida; Zingiberales; Musaceae.